GAUUAAGAACGCAGCGAAAUGCGAUAAGUAAUGUGAAUUGCAGAAUUCAGUGAAUCAUCGAAUCUUUGAACGCACAUUGCGCCCGCCAGUAUUCUGGCGGGCAUGCCUGUUCGAGCGUCAUUUCAACCAUCAAGCCCCCGGCUUGUGUUGGGGACCUGCGGCUGCCGCAGGCCCUGAAAAGCAGUGGCGGGCUCGCUGUCACACCGAGCGUAGUAGCAUACAUCUCGCUCUGGGCGUGCUGCGGGUUCCGGCCGUUAAACCACCUUCAUAACCCAAGGUUGACCUCGGAUCAGGUAGGAAGACCCGCUGAACUUAAGCAUAUCAAUAAGCGGAGGA
Molecule: unclassified non-coding RNA, 336 nt
Filed under: soil metagenome
Description: partial contains 5.8S ribosomal RNA, internal transcribed spacer 2, and large subunit ribosomal RNA
Rfam family: 5.8S ribosomal RNA (bases 1-120)
Source: RNAcentral